CCUACGGGAGGCAGCAGUAGGGAAUAUUGCGCAAUGGGGGAAACCCUGACGCAGCAACGCCGCGUGAGUGAGGAAGGUCUUCGGAUUGUAAAACUCUUUUAUUAGGGAAAUGGUACCUAAGGAAUAAGCACCGGCUAACUUCGUGCCAGCAGCCGCGGUAAUACGAAGGGUGCAAGCGUUGUUCGGAAUCAUUGGGCGUAAAGCGCGCGCAGGCGGAUCAGAAAGUCAGAUGUGAAAUCUCGGAGCUCAACUUCGAAACUGCGUCUGAAACUUCAUCUAGAGUGUCGGAGGGGGUAGGGGAAUUUCACGUGUAGGGGUAAAAUCCGUAGAGAUGUGAAGGAACACCGGAGGCGAAGGCGCCUACCUGGCGCUACUGACGCUGAGGCGCGAAAGCGUGGGGAGCAAACAGGAUUAGAUACCUUGUAGUC
Molecule: ribosomal RNA, 428 nt
Filed under: uncultured bacterium
Lineage: Bacteria
Description: partial 16S ribosomal RNA
Rfam family: Bacterial small subunit ribosomal RNA
Source: RNAcentral